AGGUUAAGUUAACAAGGGCGCAUGGUGAAUGCCUUGGCACUAGGAGCCGAUGAAGGACGGGACUAACACCGAUAUGCUUCGGGGAGCUGUACGUAAGCUAUGAUCCGGAGAUUUCCGAAUGGGGCAACCCAGCAGUUUUAAUCAACUGUUACCACUAGAUGAAUUCAUAGUCUAGUUGGAGGUAAACGCUGUGAACUGAAACAUCUCAUUAGCAGCAGGAAUAUAAAGAAAUUUCGAUUCCCUAAGUAGCGGCGAGCGAACGGGGAACAGCCCAAACCAAAGUGCUUGCACUUUGGGGUUGUAGGACUGAACAUUUGAGUUACCAAAGAACUUGAUAGUCGAAGGAUUUGGGAAAAUCCGCCAUAGAUGGUGAUAGCCCAGUAGAUUAAAUCAAAUUCUCUCAGUUCAGGAUCCUGAGUACGGCGGAACACGUGAAAUUCCGUCGGAAUCCGGGAGGACCAUCUCCCAAGGCUAAAUACUACCUAGUGACCGAUAGUGAACCAGUACCGUGAGGGAAAGGUGAAAAGCACCCCGGGAGGGGAGUGAAAUAGUUCCUGAAACCAUGUGCCUACAAUAAGUCAGAGCGCGUUAAUGCGUGAUGGCGUGCCUUUUGUAGAAUGAACCGGCGAGUUAUGAUCCCGUGCAAGGUUAAGACUAAAAAGUCGGAGCCGUAGCGAAAGCGAGUCUGAAAUGGGCGUUUUGAGUACGAGGUUAUAGACCCGAAACCAGGUGACCUAUCCAUGUCCAGGUUGAAGGUGCGGUAAAACGCACUGGAGGACCGAACCCGUGUAAGUUGAAAAUUGCUGGGAUGAGGUGUGGAUAGCGGUGAAAUUCCAAACGAACUUGGAGAUAGCUGGUUCUCUCCGAAAUAGCUUUAGGGCUAGCCUCGGAAUUAGGAUCAUGGAGGUAGAGCACUAUUUGGACUAGGGGCCCGUCUUGGGUUACUGAAUUCAGAUAAACUCCGAAUGCCAUUGAUUCAUAUCCGGGAGUCAGACGAUGAGUGAUAAGAUCCACCGUCGAAAGGGGAACAGCCCAGACCAUCAGUUAAGGUCCCUAAAUGUAUGCUAAGUGGAAAAGGAUGUGGAGUUGCAUAGACAACUAGGAUGUUGGCUCAGAAGCAGCCACCAUUUAAAGAGUGCGUAAUAGCUCACUAGUCGAGUGAUCCUGCGCCGAAAAUGUACCGGGGCUAAGCAUACUACCGAAACCAUGGAUGCGACCAUUAGGUCGCGUGAUAGGAGAGCGUUCUAAGGGCGGUGAAGCAAGAUCGUGAGGACUUGUGGAGCGCUUAGAAGUGAGAAUGCCGGUAUGAGUAGCGAAAGAUAGGUGAGAAUCCUAUCCACCGAAUGACUAAGGUUUCCUGGGGAAGGCUCGUCCUCCCAGGGUUAGUCGGGACCUAAGUCGAGGCCGAGAGGCGUAGACGAUGGAUAACAGGUUGAGAUUCCUGUACUAGUUAAGUGCGUUUGAGCAAUGGAGGGACGCAGGAGGCUAAGAUGUGCAUUCUGUUGGAUUAGAAUGUCCAAGCAGUAAGUCUGUGAAGAGUCAAAUGCUUUUCACUUUAAGGACAAGCUGUGAUGGGGAGCGAAAUUUAGUAGCGAAGCGUCUGAUGUCACACUGCCGAGAAAAGCUUCUAGUGAGUACUUAACUACCCGUACCGCAAACCGACACAGGUAGUCGAGGAGAGAAUCCUAAGGUGAGCGAGUGAACUCUCGUUAAGGAACUCGGCAAAAUGACCCCGUAACUUCGGGAGAAGGGGUGCUGAUCGCAAGAUCAGCCGCAGUGAAUAGGCCCAGGCGACUGUUUAUCAAAAACACAGGUCUCUGCAAAAUCGUAAGAUGACGUAUAGGGGCUGACGCCUGCCCGGUGCUGGAAGGUUAAAAGGAUGGGUUAGCUUCGGCGAAGCUCAGAAUUGAAGCCCCAGUAAACGGCGGCCGUAACUAUAACGGUCCUAAGGUAGCGAAAUUCCUUGUCGGGUAAGUUCCGACCCGCACGAAAGGCGUAACGAUCUGGGCACUGUCUCAACGAGAGACUCGGUGAAAUUAUAUUGUCCGUGAAGAUGCGGACUACCCGCGACAGGACGGAAAGACCCCAUGGAGCUUUACUGUAGCUUGAUAUUGAGUGUUUGUACAGCUUGUACAGGAUAGGUAGGAGCCAUAGAAACCGGAACGCUAGUUUCGGUGGAGGCGUUGGUGGGAUACUACCCUCGCUGUAUGACCACUCUAACCCGCACCACUAAUCGUGGUGGGAGACAGUGUCAGGUGGGCAGUUUGACUGGGGCGGUCGCCUCCUAAAAAGUAACGGAGGCGCCCAAAGGUUCCCUCAGAAUGGUUGGAAAUCAUUCGCAGAGUGUAAAGGCACAAGGGAGCUUGACUGCGAGACAGACAGGUCGAGCAGGGACGAAAGUCGGGCUUAGUGAUCCGGUGGUACCGUAUGGAAGGGCCAUCGCUCAACGGAUAAAAGCUACCCUGGGGAUAACAGGCUUAUCUCCCCCAAGAGUCCACAUCGACGGGGAGGUUUGGCACCUCGAUGUCGGCUCAUCGCAUCCUGGGGCUGUAGUCGGUCCCAAGGGUUGGGCUGUUCGCCCAUUAAAGCGGUACGCGAGCUGGGUUCAGAACGUCGUGAGACAGUUCGGUCCCUAUCCGUCGCGGGCGUAGGAAAUUUGAGAGGACCUGUCCUUAGUACGAGAGGACCGGGAUGGACAUACCUCUGGUGUACCAGUUGUGCCGCCAGGCGCAUCGCUGGGUAGCUACGUAUGGAUGUGAUAAACGCUGAAAGCAUCUAAGUGUGAAACACACCUCGAGAUGAGAUUUCCCAUUCCUUUAUGGAAGUAAGACCCCUGAAAGAUGAUCAGGUAGAUAGGUUAGAAGUGGCAGUGUGGUGACGCAUGAAGCGGACUAAUACUAAUCGGUCGAGGACUUAACCAAG
This 2922-nucleotide ribosomal RNA is filed under the name Lactiplantibacillus plantarum. RNAcentral describes it as "bacterial LSU rRNA". It matches the Rfam family "Bacterial large subunit ribosomal RNA". Lineage: Bacteria; Bacillati; Bacillota; Bacilli; Lactobacillales; Lactobacillaceae. The record is from RNAcentral.